RNA transcript from Dendronephthya gigantea, 2504 nucleotides. RefSeq lists it as uncharacterized. NCBI's taxonomy places the organism in Eukaryota, Metazoa, Cnidaria, Anthozoa, Malacalcyonacea, Nephtheidae. The record is from RefSeq and is a predicted model, not a curated record. The transcript is spliced from 9 exons.
GCACAACAAGUGAAUAAAAAAACGAAUGAUAUAGCAUAUAUACGAUUCAUAUUCCAUGGCAAGAUUACAUAGCCCAAGUUGAGACAAUUUCACGGUGUCUGAUUUUGUUGUGUUUGAAAUCUGCAUAUUCCUCAUGCAUGCAACAGCAGCUGUCCCACGAAAAUCUCUUUAUGAAACAUGCAAUAAUCACCCGAACCAAUUGCGAAGACGCCUGCAUGUACAAUUAUUUCAGACCAUGCGUGGGUUUUAUUGAGAUAUUUGUUCAAAACAAUAUCUGUAUAUGUAGAAAAUUAAUAUUACUUUGAAUUUUCAUCAGCCGAUCAGCUCAAAAUCCGUUGAACACAAAGGAUAAUAAUGAGUUGCGUUAAUUAAUUCAGGCAAUUUCGCUCAGUCCCAAAAUUUGUCUUAAGUCAACUCAUUGAACGCCAAGUAACAUGAAGCGGAGGUCCAUGCACACACGAUCGUUCUCAUAACAGACUCAUGGCGUUAAAGUAGGACAAAGUUAUCGAAAAAAGGACGUUUCUUCCCAAAUGGCCAAUGAGUACCACUGAGAUUAUUUUAUCACUGGAAUGCAGUCUAUUGGUACUCUUUCUUCUCUUGAUGGUUGGCACACUUCUCUUGUACAGAUUGAGAAAUACGGCAUCUCGUAACACAAAUAGACCAAACGAUUCUGGGAAUAGAAAGUACAUUGUUCUACCGCAUACCAGCGCAGAACCUGUUCCAGUUGAGAGAAAUGUCAAACUGGUAAACAAUGUAGGAGAUGAUGAAAGUGCAGAUCAUCCACUGCUUGGUGACAGAACUGAAGCUGGCCGGCUGUAUUUUUCUCUUAAAUAUGAUGAAAAAAGCUCUAUCAUUACCAUAAAACUCAUCAAAGGGGAAAAUCUACCAUUGAUAACCAAAGACGAGACGAAGGCGUUCGUAAGCGUUCAAGUUAUAUCCGACAAGAAAGAUGCCACAACAAAAAACAAAAGAAACACCAUCAGCCCAACUUAUCAAAGAUUAUAUAAAUUUCCUCUAUCCCCGGGCGACCUUGCUUCAUAUACGAUACUCUUUGAGAUCAGUCGUUUUGAUCGAUACUCAAAAAAGUAUGAUAUUGGUGACGUCACGGUCCCUCUGGCAGAACUGGGCGUAGAUAUUAGCCAUGAGACAUUCUUUACAAGAGACAUUAUUCCCCAGAAGAAUAUAAAGGCUGACACUAGAAAACCGGGAUAUUCGACUACCGCUGGCUCCGAAGACAGUCGUGUAUUGAGACGAGUAAGAAAGGAUGCAAAGGUCAAACAACAUCCUCAGAUACUUUGGCACAAGUUGAGUCGUGCAGUUCAUGAUGGUUUAUAUCAAGGAAUACUACGAGGGCGUCACGAGUCACUGCAGUGGGAUCCAUUUCUAAUCAUACAGAAAUACGAAUACGCAGAGAGCGAUGAACCUUCAGACCAACAGGAAUUACCAAAUAACAACAGAAAACGACAUCAUGAUUUUCCUGAAGAAACACCAGAAUCAUACCCCGAGACAUUCAACUCGGUUACGAUGGAAAGCCCGCCUAUUAGUUAUUCCAGUCCACAACCAUCAGAUUCCAGCCCUGAAAGAUUAGAAACACUUCAAACACCUGUGAAUCGGGAGUUCUAUCGCUUGGUUCACUCCCCAGCACUCGGUCGAUCAGAUUCAAGCGAACCUGCAACCUCUUGGUCAAUUCCAGAAACAUUUCAUUUCCCUCCAUUACCAACUCGCUUGCAAUCUAGCACGGUCGUGUUUCAGAGCGCGCCUGCAGCAUGUCGCCCUCGACAACAUCGUCUUGACAGACUUCACAAAUUGACUUCUUUAUCGUCUAAUUAUCGUAAAAAUAUAUUAAGAAAGUCGCGGAGGAGAGUCACGUUAAGGCGAAGUAAACUAACAAGAAUGGAACCACUUCAUAGGUUACUGUACUUGGGUAAAGACACGAGGACAGAGAGAUCAUAUAAACGGUUGCGUGGUGAAGGAAUUAUAGUGACUCAGGGAAUUAACAAUAUUAUCAUACAAUGAAUUAUUGUUGAAGACGGAAUAUGCUGACUGAUUAGUUUAUUUUUCAGAUUAGGUAAAAGAUUUAAUUAUUUGUCAUUACACAUGAUUAUUUUUGGUGCUUCUGAAUGAAUGAAUAUUUAGAUGUUAUCUAAAUAUGUAUAAUACUCUGUGAAUAUUUAGAUGUUAUCUAUCUAUUGCUAUUGAAUAUAGAAGGAGUUUUCUGUUGUGUAAAACGAAGUCGGUUAUCAUUUUUAAAACAAUCUCGUAAUUUGCUUUUAUCGUCAGGGGAAAGAUAUAGCGCUUCAAUGAACUGGAAAACAUUAAACUGGUCGCAAUUAAAAAACGCCGCGAAUCGCGAUUGGCCAAACAGUUCAGUUGUUGAUAAAUCGAUAUAUAAAAGCAAAUAAGAAAUUGGAUACAGAUGCUUAUGUUGUGUUCAGUGUUUGACGGUUUCUAUCAGACUGUUUUUAUGUGUGCAGGUCGGACAAUCGUGCCAAAACCGAGACAUG